RNAcentral lists this ribosomal RNA (341 nucleotides) under uncultured archaeon. RNAcentral describes it as "partial 16S ribosomal RNA". It matches the Rfam family "Archaeal small subunit ribosomal RNA", at positions 133 to 475 of the family's 1478-position model. The record is from RNAcentral.
CGGGAAACUGGGGAUAAUUCCGGAUAGAUUAUAGAUGCUGGAAUGCACUGUAAUCCAAAGCUUUUGUGCCUAAGGAUGGGUCUGCGGUCUAUCAGGUCGUAGUGGGUGUAACGUACCUACUAGCCUACGACGGAUACGGGUUGUGGGAGCAAGAGCCCGGAGAUGGAUUCUGAGACAUGAAUCCAGGCCCUACGGGGCGCAGCAGGCGCGAAAACUUUACAAUGCGGGAAACCGCGAUAAGGGGACACCGAGUGCCACUCGUAACGGGGUGGCUUUUCUUAAGUGUAAAAAGCUGUUGGAAUAAGGGCUGGGCAAGACCGGUGCCAGCCGCCGCGGUAACA